AGAGCGAACGCUGGCGGCAGGCCUAAUACAUGCAAGUCGAACGGAUCCUUCGGGAUUAGUGGCGGACGGGUGAGUAACACGUGGGAACGUGCCCUUUGGUUCGGAACAACUCAGGGAAACUUGAGCUAAUACCGGAUGUGCCCUUCGGGGGAAAGAUUUAUCGCCAUUGGAGCGGCCCGCGUCUGAUUAGCUAGUUGGUGGGGUAAAGGCCCACCAAGGCGACGAUCAGUAGCUGGUCUGAGAGGAUGAUCAGCCACACUGGGACUGAGACACGGCCCAGACUCCUACGGGAGGCAGCAGUAGGGAAUCUUGCGCAAUGGGCGAAAGCCUGACGCAGCCAUGCCGCGUGAAUGAUGGAAGGUCUUAGGAUUAGUAAAAUUCUUUCAGCGGGGACGAUAAUGACGGUACCCGCAGAAGAACGCCCCGGCUAACUUCGCGCCAGCAGCCGC
Molecule: ribosomal RNA, 449 nt
Filed under: uncultured bacterium
Lineage: Bacteria
Description: SSU rRNA
Rfam family: Bacterial small subunit ribosomal RNA
Source: RNAcentral